This 1050-nucleotide ribosomal RNA is filed under the name uncultured archaeon. RNAcentral's name for it is "bacterial SSU rRNA". It matches the Rfam family "Archaeal small subunit ribosomal RNA", at positions 1 to 1053 of the family's 1478-position model. The record is from RNAcentral.
GCGGCCGCUCCGUUUGAUCCCGGCAGAGGCCACUGCUAUCGGAGUUCGAUUAAGCCAUGCGGGUCGAGAGGUGCAAGACCUCGGCAUACUGCUCAGUAACACGUGGACAACCUACCCUAUGGAGGGGGAUAACCCCGGGAAACUGGGGAUAAUACCCCAUAGACUAUGAAUGCUGGAAUGCUUUGUAGUUGAAAGGUCCGCCGCCAUAGGAUGGGUCUGCGGCCGAUUAGGUUGUUGUUGGGGUAACGGCCCAACAAGCCUGUAAUCGGUACGGGUUGUGGGAGCAAGAGCCCGGAGAUGGAUUCUGAGACACGAAUUCAGGCCCUACGGGGCGCAGCAGGCGCGGAAACUUUACAAUGCGGGAAACCGUGAUAAGGGAACUCCGAGUGCUCGUAAAAUCGGGCUGUCCAUCUGUUUAAAUAACAGGUGAAGAAAGGGCCGGGCAAGACCGGUGCCAGCCGCCGCGGUAAUACCGGCGGCUCGAGUGGUGGCCACUAUUACAGGGCUUAAAGCGUUCGUAGCUGGUCUGUUAAGUCUCUGGGGAAAUCUACUGGCUUAACCAAUAGGCGUUUCAGGGAUACUGGCAGACUAGGGACCGGGAGAGGUGAGGGGUACUCCAGGGGUAGGAGUGAAAUCCUGUGAUCCUUGGGGGACCACCUGUGGCGAAGGCGCCUCACCAGAACGGCUCCGACAGUGAGGGACGAAAGCUGGGGGAGCAAACCGGAUUAGAUACCCGGGUAGUCCCAGCCGUAAACGAUGCGCGUUAGGUGUAUCGGUGACCACGAGUCACCGAGGUGCCGAAGAGAAAUCGUGAAACGUGCCGCCUGGGAAGUACGGUCGCAAGGCUGAAACUUAAAGGAAUUGGCGGGGGAGCACCACAACAGGUGGAGCCUGCGGUUUAAUCGGACUCAACGCCGGAAAUCUCACCGGAUAAGACAGCUGUAUGAUAGUCGGGCUGGAGACUCUACUUGACUAGCUGAGAGGAGGUGCAUGGCCGUCGUCAGUUCGUACUGUGAAGCAUCCUGUUAAGUCAGGCAACGAGCGAGACCC